This 1542-nucleotide ribosomal RNA is filed under the name Salmonella enterica subsp. enterica serovar Goldcoast. RNAcentral describes it as "bacterial SSU rRNA". It matches the Rfam family "Bacterial small subunit ribosomal RNA". The record is from RNAcentral. Lineage: Bacteria; Pseudomonadati; Pseudomonadota; Gammaproteobacteria; Enterobacterales; Enterobacteriaceae. RNAcentral also lists the same sequence under 1 other name.
AAAUUGAAGAGUUUGAUCAUGGCUCAGAUUGAACGCUGGCGGCAGGCCUAACACAUGCAAGUCGAACGGUAACAGGAAGCAGCUUGCUGCUUUGCUGACGAGUGGCGGACGGGUGAGUAAUGUCUGGGAAACUGCCUGAUGGAGGGGGAUAACUACUGGAAACGGUGGCUAAUACCGCAUAACGUCGCAAGACCAAAGAGGGGGACCUUCGGGCCUCUUGCCAUCAGAUGUGCCCAGAUGGGAUUAGCUUGUUGGUGAGGUAACGGCUCACCAAGGCGACGAUCCCUAGCUGGUCUGAGAGGAUGACCAGCCACACUGGAACUGAGACACGGUCCAGACUCCUACGGGAGGCAGCAGUGGGGAAUAUUGCACAAUGGGCGCAAGCCUGAUGCAGCCAUGCCGCGUGUAUGAAGAAGGCCUUCGGGUUGUAAAGUACUUUCAGCGGGGAGGAAGGUGUUGUGGUUAAUAACCGCAGCAAUUGACGUUACCCGCAGAAGAAGCACCGGCUAACUCCGUGCCAGCAGCCGCGGUAAUACGGAGGGUGCAAGCGUUAAUCGGAAUUACUGGGCGUAAAGCGCACGCAGGCGGUCUGUCAAGUCGGAUGUGAAAUCCCCGGGCUCAACCUGGGAACUGCAUUCGAAACUGGCAGGCUUGAGUCUUGUAGAGGGGGGUAGAAUUCCAGGUGUAGCGGUGAAAUGCGUAGAGAUCUGGAGGAAUACCGGUGGCGAAGGCGGCCCCCUGGACAAAGACUGACGCUCAGGUGCGAAAGCGUGGGGAGCAAACAGGAUUAGAUACCCUGGUAGUCCACGCCGUAAACGAUGUCUACUUGGAGGUUGUGCCCUUGAGGCGUGGCUUCCGGAGCUAACGCGUUAAGUAGACCGCCUGGGGAGUACGGCCGCAAGGUUAAAACUCAAAUGAAUUGACGGGGGCCCGCACAAGCGGUGGAGCAUGUGGUUUAAUUCGAUGCAACGCGAAGAACCUUACCUGGUCUUGACAUCCACAGAACUUUCCAGAGAUGGAUUUGUGCCUUCGGGAACUGUGAGACAGGUGCUGCAUGGCUGUCGUCAGCUCGUGUUGUGAAAUGUUGGGUUAAGUCCCGCAACGAGCGCAACCCUUAUCCUUUGUUGCCAGCGGUUAGGCCGGGAACUCAAAGGAGACUGCCAGUGAUAAACUGGAGGAAGGUGGGGAUGACGUCAAGUCAUCAUGGCCCUUACGACCAGGGCUACACACGUGCUACAAUGGCGCAUACAAAGAGAAGCGACCUCGCGAGAGCAAGCGGACCUCAUAAAGUGCGUCGUAGUCCGGAUUGGAGUCUGCAACUCGACUCCAUGAAGUCGGAAUCGCUAGUAAUCGUGGAUCAGAAUGCCACGGUGAAUACGUUCCCGGGCCUUGUACACACCGCCCGUCACACCAUGGGAGUGGGUUGCAAAAGAAGUAGGUAGCUUAACCUUCGGGAGGGCGCUUACCACUUUGUGAUUCAUGACUGGGGUGAAGUCGUAACAAGGUAACCGUAGGGGAACCUGCGGUUGGAUCACCUCCUUA